RNAcentral lists this ribosomal RNA (450 nucleotides) under uncultured Glomeromycotina. RNAcentral's name for it is "SSU rRNA". It matches the Rfam family "Eukaryotic small subunit ribosomal RNA", at positions 569 to 1016 of the family's 1831-position model. Lineage: Eukaryota; Fungi; Glomeromycota. The record is from RNAcentral.
AGCAGCCGCGGUAAUUCCAGCUCCAAUAGCGUAUAUUAAAGUUGUUGCAGUUAAAAAGCUCGUAGUUGAAUUUCGGGAUUGACGUGAUGGUCAUGCCUUAAGGGGUAUGGACUGUUGCUGUUGAUUUCUCACCUUCUGGAGAAACUUGAUGUCCUUUAUUGGGUGUCUUGCGGAUCCAGGACCUUUACCUUGAAAAAAUUAGAGUGUUUAAAGCAGGCAUUUUUGCUCGAAUACAUUAGCAUGGAAUAAUAGAAUAGGACGGCAUGGUUCUAUUUUGUUGGUUUCUAGGAUCACCGUGAUGAUUAAUAGGGAUAGUUGGGGGCAUUAGUAUUCAAUUGUCAGAGGUGAAAUUCCUGGAUUUAUUGAAGACUAACUACUGCGAAAGCAUUUGCCAAGGAUGUUUUCAUUAAUCAAGAACGAAAGUUAGGGGAUCGAAGACGAUCAGAUACC